This is a non-coding RNA of Callithrix jacchus (white-tufted-ear marmoset), 1742 nucleotides long. The record is from RefSeq and is a predicted model, not a curated record. NCBI's taxonomy places the organism in Eukaryota, Metazoa, Chordata, Mammalia, Primates, Cebidae.
CUGUAUUUAUAGAGUGUCAAUCCUGACUUAUCUUCAUCGCACUAGGCAGUAAUUUUCUAGGAACAAAGAAAAAAACUGCAGAAGCCUGGAUUUGGAGCUAGUGACCAAGGAGGAAAUAGAAAACCCAGUAACAAAGGAAUCAGAAUUUCAUAGUCAUUGGAACUGGAGAAUCUGGCAUCUGGAUACCGGAGGGAGCACAGUUGGGAUCAAGGAUUCACCACCCAAGUCGUCAUGCAGAGAGCAGGAUGCUAAACUCAAAAAGAAACUCCUCUUGUUCUCUGCACAUGCUUCUCAAAGGAAAGGACUUUCCUGCAUUGAGUUUUAUAUAAAGGUAAUUUUCUCUAAAAAUUUAAAGUUUUGCUUUUCGCACUAACUUGUCUGGUCCCAUUCGUCCACAUAAGGUUUGAAUUUCAAGUUAUGCUAUGAGUUGGAAACGCCCUUUGCUUUCUUAUCAUGGAAAUAAUUUUCCCAUCACUUUACUGAAUAAUCAUUUAAUUGUCUACUACCUUGAAAUACAAGAACUUUUAUAUAUAAAAUGCAGAUAUAAAAGUUGUUCUAUUUCCUAGUUUUCUAUUUUGUUCAAUUAGUCUAAUUGUCAGUUCAAGAGCCAAUACUACAGUGUCUAAACUAUUGAGUGUUUCAGAUACUCUUGCUAUAAAACGAAUCACCUAACAUUAAGUGGUUUAAAACACUAUCGUUUAAUUAUUUCAGAUGCUUCUGUGGGUCUUAUGAGGAAUUUGUUAGCAGCAGCUCAGCUGGAUACUUUUAGCUUAGGGUGUCUCAUGAGGUUGCAGUCAGAUAUUGGUUGGUGCUAAAGUCAUAUAAAACAUUUCUUCAGCCACAUGUCUAGUAUGUAGGCCUGAAAGUCUUGAACAGUGAGGGCUAAAGCAAUUGGUGCUUCUUGGGCAUCUUCCCCUUUUUGUAUGUAAUUUUCCCGUAUGACCUCUCAAGCAUGCUGAAUUCAGGGUAAUGGGAGCAUUUCCAUGGUAGUUCAGAGUUCUAAAAAGCUGGUGUCUCUAGAGAGUGAACCAGCCAGAAGCUGUGGCGUUUCUUUGACCUAAACUUAGAAGUCACUUAGAAUGACUCUGUCAUAUUUCAUUAAUCAAGAUACUCAUAAAGUCCCUCCUAAAUGAAAACAGAGAGGACAGACUCCACCUCUUGGUUGGGAAAUGGCAAUGCCUGGAAAAGCAUAUGCAACAGGACAUACUGUUGUAGAAACACAAUCUGUUACAGUCUGCCCCUGCUAGAAAACACACAUCCUCCCAUAAGCAUUGUACAUUCAACUUCCUUUUUUCUGGGCCCCUUUCCCAAGUCUCAUUCACAUACAGCAUCAGGCUCAGGUUCAAGGUCCAGGACCUCAUCAUCUAAAUCAUGUCCAGCUGUGGUUUUAGUGGCUCCUGUGGUGUGGUUCCUCUUGUGGUGCAGUUCCUUGAGUAUUAUAUCUUUUGACUGAAAUUUUCAAUUGGAAGACCUUUGAACUGAAGUCAGAGGUUAUCUGCCCCUUCUCUUCUCACUGGUGUGACACAUAUGACAUAACUCAUAUAGAUAUUUACAUUCAGGAAGGAGAGAAAAAAAGUAAUAUAGUGGCUGUUCCACAGCAGUUCUGAAACUCAUCUAGGUACAUGUCUUUUCAGUUCUUUGAUUAUUGUCCAGCCUACUUAUGGCAGUGAUAUUACAUGACUCUUAUUUCUUCUCUUGGGCUUUGAAUUCUGUCUUUGAGCUAUCUAUUCUUUUCCAUAAUA